RNAcentral lists this long non-coding RNA (446 nucleotides) under Numida meleagris (helmeted guineafowl). RNAcentral describes it as "lncRNA (ENSNMEG00000007836.1)". The record is from RNAcentral. Lineage: Eukaryota; Metazoa; Chordata; Aves; Galliformes; Numididae.
GUCCCACUCAGCAUACUUGGCACUAGGAUUAACUCUUGCACUAUGACAUCAGUUCUGUAACUGAAAGCUGUAUCCAGAGGAGAAAGAUGAAAGGGCAGAAAAAUGGGACUGCUCUGCCUGUCUGCAAGGGUGGCUUGGUACCCCAAAGUGGGGAGGCAAGGGUGCUCUCCUUCACACGGGGCAUACACCAGGGAACAGGACCGUGUUUGCUGGGUGGCAGCUGCAUACAACUUGGACCAGUAAUGGCUCAGGCUCCUGUCUGGUGGCCAAGAGGGAGGAGGAGACCUGGCAAGUGCUCUCUGUACACCGUCACUGGCUUGGGAUCACUGCUCCACUGGUGUCCCAGAAUUCAGACUUCUGGCAUCUGCACAAACACCUCAUCUCCUGCGCCCGCCACGAAGGCAGCUCUGUGAGGAAGGUUAUCGUGCUUUCUGUCCUUAUCAUAG